RNAcentral lists this non-coding RNA (30 nucleotides) under Mus musculus (house mouse). Lineage: Eukaryota; Metazoa; Chordata; Mammalia; Rodentia; Muridae. The record is from RNAcentral.
UGGUAGUUGGAAGAAUCAGAUUUUUGAAAG